GUAACACGUGGGAAACCUGCCCAGAAGCGGGGGAUAACACCUGGAAACAGAUGCUAAUACCGCAUAACAACUUGGACCGCAUGGUCCGAGCUUGAAAGAUGGCUUUGGCUAUCACUUUUGGAUGGUCCCGCGGCGUAUUAGCUAGAUGGUGGGGUAACGGCUCACCAUGGCAAUGAUACGUAGCCGACCUGAGAGGGUAAUCGGCCACAUUGGGACUGAGACACGGCCCAAACUCCUACGGGAGGCAGCAGUAGGGAAUCUUCCACAAUGGACGAAAGUCUGAUGGAGCAACGCCGCGUGAGUGAAGAAGGGUUUCGGCUCGUAAAACUCUGUUGUUAAAGAAGAACAUAUCUGAGAGUAACUGUUCAGGUAUUGACGGUAUUUAACCAGAAAGCCACGGCUAACUACGUGCCAGCAGCCGCGGUAAUACGUAGGUGGCAAGCGUUGUCCGGAUUUAUUGGGCGUAAAGCGAGCGCAGGCGGUUUUUUAAGUCUGAUGUGAAAGCCUUCGGCUCAACCGAAGAAGUGCAUCGGAAACUGGGAAACUUGAGUGCAGAAGAGGACAGUGGAACUCCAUGUGUAGCGGUGAAAUGCGUAGAUAUAUGGAAGAACACCAGUGGCGAAGGCGGCUGUCUGGUCUGUAACUGACGCUGAGGCUCGAAAGUAUGGGUAGCAAACAGGAUUAGAUACCCUGGUAGUCCAUACCGUAAACGAUGAAUGCUAAUUGUUGGAGGGUUUCCGCCCUUCAGUGCUGCAGCUAACGCAUUAAGCAUUCCGCCUGGGGAGUACGGCCGCAAGGCUGAAACUCAAA
Molecule: ribosomal RNA, 810 nt
Filed under: Lactiplantibacillus plantarum
Lineage: Bacteria; Bacillati; Bacillota; Bacilli; Lactobacillales; Lactobacillaceae
Description: bacterial SSU rRNA
Rfam family: Bacterial small subunit ribosomal RNA
Source: RNAcentral